GACGAACCGUCCAAACGUUAUUCGGAAUUAUUGGGCGUAAAGAGCUUGUAGGCGGUUUGUCGCGUCUGCCGUGAAAAUCCGGGGCUCAACCCCGGACUUGCGGUGGGUACGGGCAGACUAGAGUGUGGUAGGGGAGACUGGAAUUCCUGGUGUAGCGGUGAAAUGCGCAGAUAUCAGGAGGAACACCGAUGGCGAAGGCAGGUCUCUGGGCCACUACUGACGCUGAGAAGCGAAAGCGUGGGGAGCGAACAGG
This 253-nucleotide ribosomal RNA is filed under the name uncultured bacterium. RNAcentral describes it as "partial 16S ribosomal RNA". It matches the Rfam family "Bacterial small subunit ribosomal RNA", at positions 524 to 776 of the family's 1533-position model. The record is from RNAcentral.